Cephus cinctus (wheat stem sawfly) is the source of this 486-nucleotide long non-coding RNA. RefSeq lists it as uncharacterized. NCBI's taxonomy places the organism in Eukaryota, Metazoa, Arthropoda, Insecta, Hymenoptera, Cephidae. The transcript is spliced from 3 exons. The record is from RefSeq and is a predicted model, not a curated record.
CAUAUUCCGUCGUAACCGAGCUGUACGUGAUCACGAACGUGUAGUUUAGCGGGCAGAGGUAAUCUGUAGCAUUGAACAUCUCCUACUCAUCUCUGUUCAAACUAGUGAUGCUUUCAGUAUAACAUCUAUUUAGUGAGCUAAGCAGUAUUAAAAAUUAUUGCACGCGCCAAAAUCCCCAGGCUAAUCAAGAAAUAAAUUUUCCGGAAGCUCACUCCCCGCCAUUGACUUCGUCGUAGUGCGAGAACUUCAGGAACACCUGCUCCAGAGUGGUCUGACUGAAGCUGUACUCUUCUAUGUCCAAUUCCUGCUUGGCUGUAAAUUUAUAACUUGCGUGAAGCAUUCCGCGAGUGAGUUGACAGAGUGCUGGGGUACGGCAAAGACAAGCCUGUCCGCAAAACUUUCCUCCAGCGUGGCGUCAGGGAAUAAUCCAGCGACGAAAUCCUUAAGACCAGAAAUUCUGUCACCGGAAGGAGUCGUUGGUGUGCA